This 468-nucleotide ribosomal RNA is filed under the name uncultured bacterium. RNAcentral's name for it is "partial 16S ribosomal RNA". It matches the Rfam family "Bacterial small subunit ribosomal RNA", at positions 28 to 507 of the family's 1533-position model. The record is from RNAcentral.
GACGAACGCUGGCGGCGUGCUUAACACAUGCAAGUCGAACGGAAAGGCCCUGCUUUUGUGGGGUGCUCGAGUGGCAAACGGGUGAGUAACACGUGAGUAACCUGCCCUUGACUUUGGGAUAACUUCAGGAAACUGGGGCUAAUACCGGAUAGGAGCUCCUGCUGCAUGGUGGGGGUUGGAAAGUUUCGGCGGUUGGGGAUGGACUCGCGGCUUAUCAGCUUGUUGGUGGGGUAGUGGCUUACCAAGGCUUUGACGGGUAGCCGGCCUGAGAGGGUGACCGGCGACAUUGGGACUGAGAUACGGCGCAGACGCGUACGGGAGGCAGCAGUGGGGAAUAUUGCACAAUGGGCGGGAGCCUGAUGCAGCGACGCCGCGUGCGGGAUGACGGCCUUCGGGUUGUAAACAGAUGUCGCCUGUGCCGAAGAGUGAGUGACGGUAAUGGGUAAAGAAGCACCGGCUAACUACGUG